Molecule: ribosomal RNA, 1317 nt
Filed under: Senometopia sp. 1 HNL-2023a
Lineage: Eukaryota; Metazoa; Arthropoda; Insecta; Diptera; Tachinidae
Description: 16S ribosomal RNA
Source: RNAcentral
UUAAUAUUUAUUUAUUAAUAAUUUUUUUUUAUUAUUAAUUUAUUAAAAAUAAUUAUAAAAUUAAUUGUUUUAGUAUUUUUUAGAGAAGGAAUAAAUUUAAUUAUAGUUAAAUAGUAUUGUGAAAGAAAAUUUAAAUAAUUUGAAAAAUUUUUAGUUUAAAAGUAAAUUUAAUUUAUUGUACCUUGUGUAUCAGGGUUUAUUAAAUAAAGAUUAUUUAAAUAAUUUUCUCGAUUUUAAAAGAGUUAAUAUAUUAUAAAAGUUAUUGUAAUAAAAUUAUUUUAAAUAAUAUAUUAGAAAUGAAAUGUUAUUCGUUUUUAAAGGUAUCUAGUUCUUUAAGAAAUAAAUUUAAUUUAGAUAUUUUAUAUUAUUUAAUUGAUUUAUUAAUUAAAUAAUUAUUUAAUAUUAAUAUUUUAUGGGAUAAGCUAUAAAAUAAAUUUUUAAAAAUAUAAAUAAUAAAUAAUAAAUAUAAAUUUAGAAAUAGUUAUUAUUAAUAAAAAUGUUAUAAUUUAUUUUAUAAUUUAAAUUAUUUAUUAGAUUUUAAAUAAUUAUUAAUGUAUUUAUUUUAAUAAAAAAAAUUUAAUAAUAAUGAUAAAAUUAGUAUAUUAAUUUGUAUAAAUAAAUAUAAAUGAAAAGUUUUUAUAAAGAAUUCGGCAAAAAUAAUAUUCGCCUGUUUAACAAAAACAUGUCUUUUUGAUAUUAAUUUAAAGUCUAACCUGCCCACUGAUUUUAUUAAAUGGCCGCAGUAUACUAACUGUGCAAAGGUAGCAUAAUCAUUAGUCUUUUAAUUGAAGGCUGGUAUGAAUGGUUGGACGAAAUAUUAACUGUUUCAUAAAAAUUUAUAAUAAAAUUUAAUUUUUUAGUCAAAAAGCUAAAAUUUAUUUUAAAGACGAGAAGACCCUAUAAAUCUUUAUAUUUAAAUUAUUAUAAUUUUUAAGAAAGAUUUUUUUAUUAUAAUUAAUAAUAUUUUAUUGGGGUGAUAUUAAAAUUUAAUAAACUUUUAAAAUUUUUUAACAUUAAUUUAUGAAUUAUUGAUCCGUUAUUGACGAUUAAAAGAAUAAGUUACUUUAGGGAUAACAGCGUAAUUUUUUUGGAGAGUUCAUAUUAAUAAAAAAGAUUGCGACCUCGAUGUUGGAUUAAGAUAUAAUUUUAGGUGUAGCUGCUUAAAUUUUAAGUCUGUUCGACUUUUAAAUUCUUACAUGAUCUGAGUUCAAACCGGUGUAAGCCAGGUUGGUUUCUAUCUUAAAAAAAUUAAAAUAUUUUAGUACGAAAGGACCUAAUAUUUGAUAAAUUAUUAUUUUUGUUAAGAAUUUAAUUAAU